This 585-nucleotide ribosomal RNA is filed under the name Triticum aestivum (bread wheat). Its description in RNAcentral is "partial small subunit ribosomal RNA". Lineage: Eukaryota; Viridiplantae; Streptophyta; Magnoliopsida; Poales; Poaceae. The record is from RNAcentral.
CAGGUCAAAUGGAUUUUCCCUACUGCGCCAACGCGGCCCGUAGCGGCCUUCGGUGGAUUCCCAUGUACUGCAUGGUUCGAUGUGGAGGAGGCUUCGGUUGACGGCCCCGACGACGUCGACGCAUCCGCCACACACAUAGCAAACCUGCUAUCGUCCGAGCCGUCCGAUGUGAGGCUUCGGAUAGGCGGUUUCAGCAUGGGAGCGGCCACUGCGCUCUACUCUACCGCAUGUUAUGCUCAUGGAAGGUUCUCAAACGGUGUUGCGUACCCUAUUACCCUCAGCGCUAUCAUUGGGUUGAGCGGCUGGCUUCCCUGCUCCAGGACCCUGAGGACCAAGAUUGAGAGCUCACAGACUGCUUUCAGGAGGGCUGCUGCCUUGCCGAUAAUGCUUGGCCAUGGAAGAGGGGACGAGGUAGUCACGUACAGGAACGGUGAGAGGUCGGCCGAGUUUCCGCGGAACUCGGGCUUUUCUUACCUGAAUUUGAAAGCCUACAACGGACUGGGCCAUCACACCAUCCCUGAGGAAAUGGACGAUGUCUCCAAGUGGCUCAGGGCAAGGCUCGGGCUUGAUCGCUCUUGCGGCUAA